AGUGUGUCCUAACAGAUUCAGGAUCAUCACUGAUACCAGAGUUGAUGGUCAGAGGCUUGACCUUUUCAACUGAUGCUCCUGCAAACAGCAUAAUUGCUUCCUCUAGGGUUGGCAGGGAGUGUUCUGGUUCAGAUGGUUGAGGUGGAGAGUUGGGAGGGCUUAGGUUGAGAGUUUGAGGUUCAGCGGAAGUGUUUGGAGGGGUAAUGUCAUAGGUAU
Molecule: long non-coding RNA, 216 nt
Filed under: Lathyrus oleraceus (garden pea)
Lineage: Eukaryota; Viridiplantae; Streptophyta; Magnoliopsida; Fabales; Fabaceae
Description: Pisum sativum (pea) long non-coding RNA (PSAT_LNC040923)
Source: RNAcentral